GCCAGACUCCUACGGGAGGCAGCAGUGGGGAAUAUUGCGCAAUGGGGGAAACCCUGAUGCAGCGACGCCGCGUGAGUGAAGAAGUAUCUCGGUACGUAAAGCUCUCUCAGCAGGGAAGAAAAUGACGGUACCUGACUAAGAAGCCCCGGCUAACUACGUGCCAGCAGCCGCGGUAAUACGUAGGGGGCAAGCGUUAUCCGGAUUUACUGGGUGUAAAGGGAGCGUAGACGGCAGCACAAGUCUGGAGUGAAAGCCCGGGGCUUAACCCCGGAACUGCUUUGGAAACUGUGCGGCUGGAGUGCAGGAGGGGUAAGCGGAAUUCCUAGUGUAGCGGUGAAAUGCGUAGAUAUUAGGAGGAACACCGGUGGCGAAGGCGGCUCACUGGACUGUAACUGACGUUGAGGCUCGAAAGCGUGGGGAGCAAACAGGAUUAGAUACCCCCGUAC
RNAcentral lists this ribosomal RNA (446 nucleotides) under uncultured bacterium. Its description in RNAcentral is "bacterial SSU rRNA". It matches the Rfam family "Bacterial small subunit ribosomal RNA", at positions 330 to 793 of the family's 1533-position model. The record is from RNAcentral.